AGCAGCCGCGGUAAUUCCAGCUCCAAUAGCGUAUAUUAAAGUUGUUGCAGUUAAAAAGCUCGUAGUUGAAUUUCGGGAUCAAUUUGCUGGUCGUGCCUUCGGUACGCACUGGUAUUAUUGGUUUCUCCUUUCUAAUGAAUCGCGAUGUCAUUAAUUUGGUGUCGUGGGGAAUCAGGACCGUUACUUUGAAAAAAUUAGAGUGUUUAAAGCAGGCUCACGCUUGAAUACAUUAGCAUGGAAUAAUGAAAUAGGACGUUUGAUUCUAUUUUGUUGGUUUCUAGGAUCGACGUAAUGAUUAAUAGGGAUAGUUGGGGGCAUUAGUAUUCAAUUGUCAGAGGUGAAAUUCUUGGAUUUAUUGAAGACUAACUACUGCGAAAGCAUUUGCCAAGGAUGUUUUCAUUAAUCAAGAACGAAAGUUAGGGGAUCGAAGACGAUCAGAUACCGUCGUAGUCUUAACCAUAAACUAUGCCGACUAGGGAUCGGAUGAUGUUAAUUUUUAAUGACUCAUUCGGCGCCUUAA
Molecule: ribosomal RNA, 520 nt
Filed under: uncultured Glomus
Lineage: Eukaryota; Fungi; Glomeromycota; Glomeromycetes; Glomerales; Glomeraceae
Description: SSU rRNA
Rfam family: Eukaryotic small subunit ribosomal RNA
Source: RNAcentral